RNAcentral lists this ribosomal RNA (710 nucleotides) under uncultured Adhaeribacter sp. Its description in RNAcentral is "bacterial SSU rRNA". It matches the Rfam family "Bacterial small subunit ribosomal RNA", at positions 94 to 803 of the family's 1533-position model. Lineage: Bacteria; Pseudomonadati; Bacteroidota; Cytophagia; Cytophagales; Hymenobacteraceae. The record is from RNAcentral.
AGUGGCGCACGGGUGCGUAACGCGUAUGCAACCUACCUUAAACUGGGGGAUAGCCUUCCGAAAGGGAGAUUAAUACCGCAUAAGAUCACGAGAGGGCAUCUGAUUGUGAUUAAAGAUUUAUUGGUUUAAGAUGGGCAUGCGUGCCAUUAGCUAGUUGGUAGGGUAACGGCCUACCAAGGCUACGAUGGCUAGGGGUUCUGAGAGGAUGAUCCCCCACACUGGCACUGAGAUACGGGCCAGACUCCUACGGGAGGCAGCAGUAGGGAAUAUUGGGCAAUGGACGCAAGUCUGACCCAGCCAUGCCGCGUGCAGGAAGAAGGCCUUCUGGGUUGUAAACUGCUUUUAUCUGGGAAGAAAAAACCCCUGCGGGGGGAACUGACGGUACCAGAGGAAUAAGCACCGGCUAACUCCGUGCCAGCAGCCGCGGUAAUACGGAGGGUGCAAGCGUUGUCCGGAUUUAUUGGGUUUAAGGGGUGCGUAGGCGGCCCGGUAAGUCAGUGGUGAAAGCCUCCAGCUCAACUGGAGAACUGCCAUUGAUACUGCCGGGCUUGAGUACAGACGAGGUUGGCGGAAUUGAUUGUGUAGCAGUGAAAUGCAUAGAUACAAUCAAGAACUCUGAUUGCGUAGGCAGCUAACUAGGCUGUAACUGACGCUGAGGCACGAAAGCGUGGGGAGCGAACAGGAUUAGAUACCCUGGUAGUCCACGCCGU